AAGUGACGCGGUAGAGGAGCGUUCUGUAAGCCUGUGAAGGUGAGUUGAGAAGCUUGCUGGAGGUAUCAGAAGUGCGAAUGCUGACAUGAGUAACGACAAUGGGUGUGAAAAACACCCACGCCGAAAGACCAAGGGUUCCUGCGCAACGUUAAUCGACGCAGGGUUAGUCGGUUCCUAAGGCGAGGCUGAAAAGCGUAGUCGAUGGGAAACGGGUUAAUAUUCCUGUACUUCUGGUUACUGCGAUGGAGGGACGGAGAAGGCUAGGCCAGCUUGGCGUUGGUUGUCCAAGUUUAAGGUGGUAGGCUGAAAUCUUAGGUAAAUCCGGGGUUUCAAGGCCGAGAGCUGAUGACGAGUCGUCUUUUAGAUGACGAAGUGGUUGAUGCCAUGCUUCCAAGAAAAGCUUCUAAGCUUCAGGUAACCAGGAACCGUACCCCAAACCGACACAGGUGGUCGGGUAGAGAAUACCAAGGCGCUUGAGAGAACUCGGGUGAAGGAACUAGGCAAAAUGGCACCGUAACUUCGGGAGAAGGUGCGCCGGCUAGGGUGAAGGAUUUACUCCGUAAGCUCUGGCUGGUCGAAGAUACCAGGCCGCUGCGACUGUUUAUUAAAAACACAGCACUCUGCAAACACGAAAGUGGACGUAUAGGGUGUGACGCCUGCCCGGUGCCGGAAGGUUAAUUGAUGGGGUUAGCGCAAGCGAAGCUCUUGAUCGAAGCCCCGGUAAACGGCAGCCGUAACAAUAACGGUCCUAAGGUAGCGAAAUUCCUUGUCGGGUAAGUUCCGACCUGCACGAAUGGCGUAACGAUGGCGGCGCUGUCUCCACCCGAGACUCAGUGAAAUUGAAAUCGCUGUGAAGAUGCAGUGUAUCCGCGGCUAGACGGAAAGACCCCGUGAACCUUUACUGUAGCUUUGCACUGGACUUUGAGCCUGCUUGUGUAGGAUAGGAGGGAGGCUUUGAAGCGUGGACGCCAGUUCGCGUGGAGCCAUCCUUGAAAUACCACCCUGGCAUGCUUGAGGUUCUAACUCUGGUCCGUAAUCCGGAUCGAGGACAGUGUAUGGUGGGCAGUUUGACUGGGGCGGUCUCCUCCUAAAGAGUAACGGAGGAGUACGAAGGUGCGCUCAGACCGGUCGGAAAUCGGUCGCAGAGUAUAAAGGCAAAAGCGCGCUUGACUGCGAGACAGACACGUCGAGCAGGUACGAAAGUAGGUCUUAGUGAUCCGGUGGUUCUGUAUGGAAGGGCCAUCGCUCAACGGAUAAAAGGUACUCCGGGGAUAACAGGCUGAUACCGCCCAAGAGUUCAUAUCGACGGCGGUGUUUGGCACCUCGAUGUCGGCUCAUCACAUCCUGGGGCUGAAGCCGGUCCCAAGGGUAUGGCUGUUCGCCAUUUAAAGUGGUACGCGAGCUGGGUUUAGAACGUCGUGAGACAGUUCGGUCCCUAUCUGCCGUGGACGUUUGAGAUUUGAGAGGGGCUGCUCCUAGUACGAGAGGACCGGAGUGGACGAACCUCUGGUGUUCCGGUUGUCACGCCAGUGGCAUUGCCGGGUAGCUAUGUUCGGAAAAGAUAACCGCUGAAAGCAUCUAAGCGGGAAACUUGCCUCAAGAUGAGAUCUCACUGGGAACUUGAUUCCCCUGAAGGGCCGUCGAAGACUACGACGUUGAUAGGCUGGGUGUGUAAGCGUUGUGAGGCGUUGAGCUAACCAGUACUAAUUGCCCGUGAGGCUUGACC
Molecule: ribosomal RNA, 1726 nt
Filed under: metagenome
Description: bacterial LSU rRNA
Rfam family: Bacterial large subunit ribosomal RNA
Source: RNAcentral